RNAcentral lists this ribosomal RNA (406 nucleotides) under uncultured bacterium. RNAcentral describes it as "partial 16S ribosomal RNA". It matches the Rfam family "Bacterial small subunit ribosomal RNA", at positions 30 to 526 of the family's 1533-position model. The record is from RNAcentral.
AUUGAACGCUGGCGGCAGGCCUAACACAUGCAAGUCGAACGAGUGGCGGACGGGUGAGUAAUGUCUGGGAAACUGCCCGAUGGCGGGGGAUAACUACUGGAAACGGUAGCUAAUACCGCAUACCAUCGGAUGUGCCCAGAUGGGAUUAGCUAGUAGGUGGGGGAAAGGCUCACCUAGGCGACGAUCCCUAGCUGGUCUGAGAGGAUGACCAGCCACACUGGGACUGGGACACGGUCCAGACUCCUACGGGAGGAAGCAGUGGGGAAUAUUGGACAAUGGGCGCAGGCCUGAUGCAGCCAUGCCGCGUGUAUGAAGAAGGCCUUCGGGUUGUAAAGUACUUUCAGCGGGGAGGCGUUACCCGCAGAAGAAGCACCGGCUAACUCCGUGCCAGCAGCCGCGGUAAUUC